Molecule: ribosomal RNA, 405 nt
Filed under: uncultured bacterium
Lineage: Bacteria
Description: partial 16S ribosomal RNA
Rfam family: Bacterial small subunit ribosomal RNA
Source: RNAcentral
AUUGAACGCUAGCGGGAUGCUUUACACAUGCAAGUCGAACGAGUGGCGGACGGGUGAGUAAUAUAACGGAACGUGCCCAGUAGCUGGGGAUAACUACUCGAAACUGUGGCUAAUACCGCCUACUAUAGGCUUGGCCGAUAUCGGAUUAGCUAGUUGGUGGGGUAAAGGCUCACCAAGGCGACGAUCCGUAGCUGGUUUGAGAGGACGACCAGCCACACUGGGACUGAGACACGGCCCAGACUCCUACGGGAGGCAGCAGUGGGGAAUUUUGGACAAUGGGGGAAAGCCUGAUCCAGCCAUCCCGCGUGUAUGAGAAGGCCUUCGGGUUGUAAAGUACUUUUGGUAGAGAAGCGGUAUCUGCAGAAUAAGCACCGGCUAACUACGUGCCAGCCGCCGCGGUAAUUC